UACGUAGGGUGCGAGCGUUAAUCGGAAUUACUGGGCGUAAAGUGUGCGCAGGCGGCCGAGCAAGUCGAGUGUGAAAGCCCCGGGCUUAACUUGGGAAUUGCGCUCGAAACUACAUUGCUGGAGUGUGGCAGAGGAAGGUGGAAUUCCACGUGUAGCGGUGAAAUGCGUAGAGAUGUGGAGGAACACCAAUGGCGAAGGCAGCCUUCUGGGCCAACACUGACGCUCAUGCACGAAAGCGUGGGGAGCAAACAGG
RNAcentral lists this ribosomal RNA (253 nucleotides) under uncultured bacterium. RNAcentral's name for it is "partial 16S ribosomal RNA". It matches the Rfam family "Bacterial small subunit ribosomal RNA", at positions 524 to 776 of the family's 1533-position model. The record is from RNAcentral.